CAAGGAAUAGUUUAAUUAGAAUUUCAGCUUUGGGUGUUGAAGGUGGGGUUUAGAUACCUUUUCCUUG
Molecule: transfer RNA, 67 nt
Filed under: Lophostoma silvicola (D'Orbigny's round-eared bat)
Lineage: Eukaryota; Metazoa; Chordata; Mammalia; Chiroptera; Phyllostomidae
Description: transfer RNA-Pro
Rfam family: tRNA
About the family: Transfer RNA (tRNA) molecules are approximately 80 nucleotides in length. Their secondary structure includes four short double-helical elements and three loops (D, anti-codon, and T loops).
Source: RNAcentral